This 1137-nucleotide ribosomal RNA is filed under the name Chlamydia psittaci 03DC29. Its description in RNAcentral is "bacterial SSU rRNA". It matches the Rfam family "Bacterial small subunit ribosomal RNA", at positions 9 to 1127 of the family's 1533-position model. The record is from RNAcentral. Lineage: Bacteria; Pseudomonadati; Chlamydiota; Chlamydiia; Chlamydiales; Chlamydiaceae.
GAAUUUGAUCUUGGUUCAGAUUGAACGCUGGCGGCGUGGAUGAGGCAUGCAAGUCGAACGGAAUAAUGACUUCGGUUGUUAUUUAGUGGCGGAAGGGUUAGUAAUACAUAGAUAAUCUGUCCUCAACUUGGGAAUAACGGUUGGAAACGACCGCUAAUACCGAAUGUGGUAUGUUUAGGCAUCUAAAACAUAUUAAAGAAGGGGAUCUUCGGACCUUUCGGUUGAGGGAGAGUCUAUGGGAUAUCAGCUUGUUGGUGGGGUAAUGGCCUACCAAGGCUUUGACGUCUAGGCGGAUUGAGAGAUUGACCGCCAACACUGGGACUGAGACACUGCCCAGACUUCUACGGAAGGCUGCAGUCGAGAAUCUUUCGCAAUGGACGAAAGUCUGACGAAGCGACGCCGCGUGUGUGAUGAAGGCUCUAGGGUUGUAAAGCACUUUCGCUUGGGAAUAAGAGAGAUUGGCUAAUAUCCAAUCGAUUUGAGCGUACCAGGUAAAGAAGCACCGGCUAACUCCGUGCCAGCAGCUGCGGUAAUACGGAGGGUGCUAGCGUUAAUCGGAUUUAUUGGGCGUAAAGGGCGUGUAGGCGGAAAGGAAAGUUAGAUGUUAAAUCUUGGGGCUCAACCCCAAGCCAGCAUCUAAUACUAUCUUUCUAGAGGGUAGAUGGAGAAAAGGGAAUUCCACGUGUAGCGGUGAAAUGCGUAGAUAUGUGGAAGAACACCAGUGGCGAAGGCGCUUUUCUAAUUUACACCUGACGCUAAGGCGCGAAAGCAAGGGGAGCAAACAGGAUUAGAUACCCUGGUAGUCCUUGCCGUAAACGAUGCAUACUUGAUGUGGAUAGUCUCAACCCUAUCCGUGUCGUAGCUAACGCGUUAAGUAUGCCGCCUGAGGAGUACACUCGCAAGGGUGAAACUCAAAAGAAUUGACGGGGGCCCGCACAAGCAGUGGAGCAUGUGGUUUAAUUCGAUGCAACGCGAAGAACCUUACCUGGGCUUGACAUGUAUUUGACCGCGGCAGAAAUGUCGUUUUCCGCAAGGACAGAUACACAGGUGCUGCAUGGCUGUCGUCAGCUCGUGCCGUGAGGUGUUGGGUUAAGUCCCGCAACGAGCGCAACCCUUAUCGUUAGUUGCCAACACUUA